UCGAGCGGAAAGGCCCCUUCGGGGGUACUCGAGCGGCGAACGGGUGAGUAACACGUGAGCAACCUGCCCCUGACUUCGGGAUAAGCCUGGGAAACUGGGUCUAAUACCGGAUACGACCAUUUUGGGCAUCUGGGGUGGUGGAAAGUUUUUCGGUUGGGGAUGGGCUCGCGGCCUAUCAGCUUGUUGGUGGGGUGAUGGCCUACCAAGGCUUCGACGGGUAACCGGCCUGAGAGGGCGACCGGUCACACUGGGACUGAGACACGGCCCAGACUCCUACGGGAGGCAGCAGUGGGGAAUAUUGCGCAAUGGGCGGAAGCCUGACGCAGCGACGCCGCGUGGGGGAUGACGGCCUUCGGGUUGUAAACCUCUUUCAGCAGGGACGAAGCGUAAGUGACGGUACCUGUAGAAGAAGCGCCGGCUAACUACGUGCCAGCAGCCGCGGGGUAAUUCCA
This 452-nucleotide ribosomal RNA is filed under the name Actinomadura sp. XM-24-9. Its description in RNAcentral is "bacterial SSU rRNA". It matches the Rfam family "Bacterial small subunit ribosomal RNA", at positions 62 to 528 of the family's 1533-position model. The record is from RNAcentral. Lineage: Bacteria; Bacillati; Actinomycetota; Actinomycetes; Streptosporangiales; Thermomonosporaceae.